GACGAACGCUGGCGGCGUGCUUAACACAUGCAAGUCGAACGGUGAAGGGACCGGUUUUUGCUGGUUCUGGAUGAGUGGCGAACGGGUGAGUAACACGUGAGUAACCUGCCCCCUUCUUCUGGAUAACCGCAUGAAAGUGUGGCUAAUACGGGAUAUUCUGCGCCUGCUGCAUGGUGGGUGUGGGAAAGAUAUUGUUUCGGUGGGGGAUGGGCUCGCGGCCUAUCAGCUUGUUGGUGGGGUGAUGGCCUACCAAGGCGGUGACGGGUAGCCGGCCUGAGAGGGUGGACGGUCACACUGGGACUGAGACACGGCCCAGACUCGUACGGGAGGCAGCAGUGGGGAAUAGUGAACAAUGGGCGCAAGCCUGAUGCAGCGACGCCGCGUGGGGGAUGGAGGCCUUCGGGUUGUAAACCUCUUUCGCCAGUGAAGCAGGCCUGUCCCUUUUGUGGGUGGGUUGACGGUAGCUGGAUAAGAAGCGCCGGCUAACUACGUG
RNAcentral lists this ribosomal RNA (493 nucleotides) under uncultured bacterium. RNAcentral describes it as "partial 16S ribosomal RNA". It matches the Rfam family "Bacterial small subunit ribosomal RNA", at positions 28 to 507 of the family's 1533-position model. The record is from RNAcentral.